RNAcentral lists this long non-coding RNA (223 nucleotides) under Elaeis guineensis (African oil palm). Its description in RNAcentral is "long non-coding RNA (EGUI_LNC020881)". Lineage: Eukaryota; Viridiplantae; Streptophyta; Magnoliopsida; Arecales; Arecaceae. The record is from RNAcentral.
UGGGAGUGAUGAUAAGAAAUCUGAGGAUGAAGGUAGUGAUGAACUGUUGAGUGAUGUGAACUCUAUGGAAUUAAUCGAUCCCCUGAGUAGUUAUAAGGAGCCCGGUUGUAAGAUAAGAAAAAGAAACUUCUCCUUAUUAGAAAUAAAGGGCUCGAAACCAUUUAAGGUUGCAGAGGGAGGACAAAUAUAUUUGAGAAAGGACAGCUAUUUAUACAUGUGAAUG